This 494-nucleotide ribosomal RNA is filed under the name uncultured bacterium. Its description in RNAcentral is "SSU rRNA". It matches the Rfam family "Bacterial small subunit ribosomal RNA", at positions 26 to 521 of the family's 1533-position model. The record is from RNAcentral.
AGAUUGAACGCUGGCGGCAUGCCUUACACAUGCAAGUCGAACGGUAACAGGUUAAGCUGACGAGUGGCGAACGGGUGAGUAAUAUAUCGGAACGUGCCCAGUAGUGGGGGGAUAGCCCGGCGAAAGCCGGAUUAAUACCGCAUACGACCUACGGGUGAAAGCGGGGGAUCGCAAGACCUCGCGCUAUUGGAGCGGCCGAUAUCAGAUUAGCUUGUUGGUGGGGUAAAAGCCCACCAAGGCGACGAUCUGUAGCUGGUCUGAGAGGACGACCAGCCACACUGGGACUGAGACACGGCCCAGACUCCUACGGGAGGCAGCAGUGGGGAAUUUUUGGACAAUGGACGAAAGUCUGAUCCAGCCAUGCCGCGUGCGGGAAGAAGGCCUUCGGGUUGUAAACCGUCUUUGUCAGGGAAGAAAGUCUCGGGUUAAUACCUUGGGAUGAUGACGGUACCUGAAGAAUAAGCACCGGCUAACUACGCGCCAGCAGCCGCGGU